GCACGUUCUUGCGGGAACAUAGGAGCCAUCAGUGAGAUACCACUCUUCUAAUGUUAGAUUUCUAACCUUGUACCAUUAUCUGGUCAAGGAACAGUUUCAGGCGGGCAGUUUGACUGGGGCGGUCGCCUCCUAAAUGGUAACGGAGGCGUACAAAGGUUUCCUCUGAACGAAUAGAAAUCGUAUCUAGAGUAUAAAGGCAUAAGGAAGCUUGACUGUGAGACCUACAAGUCGAGCAGGGACGAAAGUCGGUCUUAGUGAUCUGACGGUACUGAGUGGAAAGGCCGUCACUCAACGGAUAAAAGUUACUCUAGGGAUAAC
Molecule: ribosomal RNA, 318 nt
Filed under: uncultured eukaryote
Lineage: Eukaryota
Description: LSU rRNA
Rfam family: Bacterial large subunit ribosomal RNA
Source: RNAcentral